AAACGACUCUCGGCAACGGAUAUCUCGGCUCUCGCAUCGAUGAAGAACGUAGCGAAAUGCGAUACUUGGUGUGAAUUGCAGAAUCCCGUGAACCAUCGAGUCUUUGAACGCAAGUUGCGCCCCAAGUCAUUAGGCCGAGGGCACGUCUGCCUGGGUGUCACGC
This 163-nucleotide ribosomal RNA is filed under the name Citrus sinensis (sweet orange). RNAcentral describes it as "5.8S ribosomal RNA". It matches the Rfam family "5.8S ribosomal RNA". From Rfam's summary of the family: 5.8S ribosomal RNA (5.8S rRNA) is a component of the large subunit of the eukaryotic ribosome. It is transcribed by RNA polymerase I as part of the 45S precursor that also contains 18S and 28S rRNA. Functionally, it is thought that 5.8S rRNA may be involved in ribosome translocation. The record is from RNAcentral. Lineage: Eukaryota; Viridiplantae; Streptophyta; Magnoliopsida; Sapindales; Rutaceae.